This 1788-nucleotide long non-coding RNA is filed under the name Homo sapiens (human). RNAcentral's name for it is "HSALNT0049573". Lineage: Eukaryota; Metazoa; Chordata; Mammalia; Primates; Hominidae. The record is from RNAcentral.
CUUCGUUUCUCUCUUUCCAGGUUAUCUCUCCUGCUCUGUGAAGUCUGUCUGUCCUUGGAUCAGAACAAUGUAAGGAUUGUGGAUAUAAUUUCCCUGCACGCCGACAUUCGGCCUUACUGAUGAGACUUCAGAGAACUGCCUCCAGCUUCCACUCUGCUGGCAUGUGAGGACACAGCCUUUGGUCCCCUCGUCAAGUGAGAGAGAACACGGCGUCUGUCCUCUCCACAGGGCACAGCAGCAACAAGGCGCCAUCUUGGAAGCAGAGAGCAGCCCUCACCAGACACCAAGUUUACUGGCCCUUGAUCUUGGACUUCUCAGCCUCCAGAACUGGGAGAAAUAAAUUCCCAUUGUUUAUAAAUUACCCAGUACAUGGAAUUUUGUUACAGCUGCAGGAAUGGACUCUUUCCCUUCCUUUAGCUCUUUGAAUAUUUAAAGUGUGUCUAGUUUACAGUUUCAUUCAGAUUAUUCUAUUAACUUUAGUUCCUGGGGUACAAAUAUUCCCAUUCUGGGGCAAUGGACCCUUUGGUCUAUUUUAGUUGACACUGGGCUCAGCUGUAGCUACUUCUCAUCCGUGAGCAUGGUUUUCAGCCUUCUGUCUCCACACUCUGAGCAUAGAAGUGUGACUUUGGGCCUCACACCUGCACACAGCACAGGCUGAGCUUCUUCUCACUUCACAGCCUUUUAAAGGAUUUCUUCUUCCAGGCUAUGACCUGUGGCCAAAACACAGAUCUUUCUGCUCCCUCCCUGCUCACGCUUGGAAACUUCCAAACUCUCCUCUCCUAGAUUCAAACAAGAAGAGAAAUUCCGGAUUCUUUCUUCUCAUGGUCAUUUGAACCCCUCCUACUGUGAGAACUCCAGCCCACCUGCACACCCUCUUUGGAGCACACCACUGAGACUCCUGUUCACUGCUCCAACUGAGAGCUUCCUCUUGAUUUCUGGGAACUGGUUUCCCUUUCUUGCUUUUUUGUCUUGGCUCAAUUUUUAAAUUUAAAGAACAGGUGCAGUGGCUCACACCUGUAAUCCCAGCACUUUGGGAAGCCAAGACAGAAGGAUCCUUUGAAGCCAGGAGUUUGAAACAAGCCCGGACAACACAGCAAGACUCCAUUUCUACAAAAAAAAAAAAAAAUAAUUAUCUGGGUGUGGUGGCAUGCACCUGUAGACCCAGCUACUCAGGCUGCUAAGCUGAGAGAAUCACUUUAGCCCAGAAUUGGAGGCUGCAGUGAGUUAUGAUGGCACCACUGCACUCCAGCCUGUGUGACAGAACAAGACCAUCUCAAAAUAAAUAAAUUUAGAUCAGCAGUUUUAAGUGUUUGGAGAAGACUGGACAAAUCUCAUGACUGUUGGAUCCUUUGUAAUGACUAUAAAUCUACUUAAUUUUUGUGGAUUCAAAAGUGCUGUAACAUCCAUUUGGGCUAGGCCUCCUCCAUCUCUUCCUUAUCUUCACUUCCCAUUCUUUCCUUUCUUAUCUUUCUUUUCCUUUCCUUAUUUGUUGAAGCCAUUUUCACAUGACUUCCAAAUGCACUUAUUUUUGUGAAGUUAGAGAAAUCCUAUACGAAUUUUAAUUUGAAUUAAGUAAUUUAUAUGUUUGUAAUAUUUAGUCUUCUUAUCUAGAAACAUGCUGUAGGAAAUUGUGUUUCCUGUCCACUCCUCUUUAUCUUCUCUUAUCCUUCCUUAUUUUGUGAAGUUAAAAUCCUGUAGGAAUUUUAAUUUGAAUUAAGGAAUUUGUAUGUUUGUAAUAUUUAGUCUUAUCUAAAAACAUGGUGUAAUAAAUUUUGUUUCCUGUUCACU